Molecule: regulatory RNA element, 101 nt
Organism: Rothia mucilaginosa DY-18
Lineage: Bacteria; Bacillati; Actinomycetota; Actinomycetes; Micrococcales; Micrococcaceae
Rfam family: TPP riboswitch aptamer (THI element)
About the family: Vitamin B(1) in its active form thiamin pyrophosphate (TPP) is an essential coenzyme that is synthesised by coupling of pyrimidine and thiazole moieties in bacteria. The previously detected thiamin-regulatory element, thi box was extended, resulting in a new, highly conserved RNA secondary structure, the THI element, which is widely distributed in eubacteria and also occurs in some archaea. Analysis of operon structures identified a large number of new candidate thiamin-regulated genes, mostly transporters, in various prokaryotic organisms.
Source: Rfam
CCCAAACGACAGGGGAGCGCCACCGAGGCGCUGAGAGUGCUAAGCAGACCCUCGAACCUGAUCCGGUUAGUACCGGCGUAGGGAGUCGAAUUUCUUCUCAA